This 879-nucleotide ribosomal RNA is filed under the name uncultured bacterium. RNAcentral describes it as "bacterial SSU rRNA". It matches the Rfam family "Bacterial small subunit ribosomal RNA", at positions 47 to 921 of the family's 1533-position model. The record is from RNAcentral.
CCUAACACAUGCAAGUCGAACGAGAAUCUUUGAACAGAACUUUUCGGAGUGACGUUCAAAGAGGAAAGUGGCGGACGGGCGAGUAACGCGUGAGUAACCUGCCCAUAAGAGGGGGAUAAUCCAUGGAAACGUGGACUAAUACCGCAUAUUGUAAUUAAGUUGCAUGACUUGAUUAUGAAAGAUUUAUCGCUUAUGGAUGGACUCGCGUCAGAUUAGAUAGUUGGUGAGGUAACGGCUCACCAAGUCAACGAUCUGUAGCCGAACUGAGAGGUUGAUCGGCCGCAUUGGGACUGAGACACGGCCCAGACUCCUACGGGAGGCAGCAGUGGGGAAUAUUGCGCAAUGGGGGCAACCCUGACGCAGCAACGCCGCGUGCAGGAAGAAGGUCUUCGGAUUGUAAACUGUUGUCGCAAGGGAAGAAGACAGUGACGGUACCUUGUGAGAAAGUCACGGCUAACUACGUGCCAGCAGCCGCGGUAAUACGUAGGUGACAAGCGUUGUCCGGAUUUACUGGGUGUAAAGGGCGCGUAGGCGGACUGUCAAGUCAGUCGUGAAAUACCGGGGCUUAACCCCGGGGCUGCGAUUGAAACUGACAGCCUUGAGUAUCGGAGAGGAAAGCGGAAUUCCUAGUGUAGCGGUGAAAUGCGUAGAUAUUAGGAGGAACACCAGUGGCGAAGGCGGCUUUCUGGACGACAACUGACGCUGAGGCGCGAAAGUGUGGGGAGCAAACAGGAUUAGAUACCCUGGUAGUCCACACCGUAAACGAUGGAUACUAGGUGUAGGAGGUAUCGACCCCUUCUGUGCCGCAGUUAACACAAUAAGUAUCCCACCUGGGGAGUACGACCGCAAGGUUGAAACUCAAAGGAAUUGACGGAAGGG